RNAcentral lists this non-coding RNA (28 nucleotides) under Mus musculus (house mouse). Lineage: Eukaryota; Metazoa; Chordata; Mammalia; Rodentia; Muridae. The record is from RNAcentral.
UUUUCGGUGUGUCCUGGUAAUAACUGGU